This 588-nucleotide long non-coding RNA is filed under the name Ornithorhynchus anatinus (platypus). Its description in RNAcentral is "lncRNA (ENSOANG00000048706.1)". The record is from RNAcentral. Lineage: Eukaryota; Metazoa; Chordata; Mammalia; Monotremata; Ornithorhynchidae.
AUGAUUUCUUUUUUUUUUCUGGACUCAAAAAAAAUUGAUGUUAUCUAUCUCUAUGUUAACCUCCUUCUCCCAAAGUACAGUGGAGAGAGGAAAGAGACAGAGAUCCUGGGGAUGGAGCCAGACCAAGAUGUAGUUGGUUUGUGUGGCCACAGCUGGAGACAUCAGCAGUGUAAGACUCACCUCAGCAACUUUUGGGAUUUGGAGAAAGAUGAAAGAUUGCUAAAACUAAGUGUUUAAUAACUCCUUUCAGGGCUGCCAAAAGGAAAGAAGAUCAUCUGCCCCAAAACAGCAAAAGUGGAACCAGCAAUUUUUUCAUAGGCCUCUCAAUAAGUGUGGUUCUGGGAAUAAGAAGGAAACAGUACCAUUUCCAAGGCUCUGAGUCUGGUCUUUUCCUCUUCUAAAUUCUUCUUCCUUCUACCUUUUCCUUCUCCCGGUAUAAUUUUGCACCCGAUAAGCAUGCAUGCAGUUUGCAAGACGCGAUCCUGCCUGUUAGUGUUUUCCACGAAUUCCUACUAUGAUGUGUGAUCCCAAAGCAACAAUUUAGGGCAAAGCCUGGCAUUUUGUAGCAUCAAGGAUCUUUCUUGGAAG